CUUAGAUAAAUCUAGAUACCAUUAGAUUCAAUUAUUUAUGAUUUUUAUUGAACCAUCUGUACAGUAAUUCAACCAUAAUUUGAUUCAAUCAUCUUGAUUAGACCAAUCAGAUUAUCCAACAAUAUCAUCUGAUUAGUCUUAUUCUACCCUAAUAAUUUCUUAUUCCUCUGAUAUUCUUUCUACAUGAUUUAUAUGAAGGAUUGGAUGGCGCACCAAAUCGGUU
Molecule: long non-coding RNA, 223 nt
Filed under: Elaeis guineensis (African oil palm)
Lineage: Eukaryota; Viridiplantae; Streptophyta; Magnoliopsida; Arecales; Arecaceae
Description: long non-coding RNA (EGUI_LNC035683)
Source: RNAcentral